UCCCCUAGUAACGGCGAGUGAAGAGGGAAAAGCUCAAAUUUAAAAUCUGGCGGUCUACGGCCGUCCGAGUUGUAAUCUAGAGAAGUGUUUUCCGCGCUGGACCGUGUACAAGUCCUUUGGAACAAGGCGUCAUAGAGGGUGAGAAUCCCGUCUACGACACGGACUGCCRAGCGCUUUGUGAUACACUCUCAACGAGUCGAGUUGUUUGGGAAUGCAGCUCAAAAUGGGUGGUAAAUUCCAUCUAAAGCUAAAUAUUGGCGAARGACCGAUAGCGAACAAGUACCGUGAGGGAAAGAUGAAAAGCACUUUGGAAAGAGAGUUAAACAGUACGUGAAAUUGUUGARAGGGAAACGCUUGAAGUCRGUCGCGUCUUCARAAAUUCRGCUGGGCUUCUGCCUAGUGUACUUUUCUGUGGGACGGGCCAGCAUCAGUUUUGGCUGCCAGAARAAGGUCGGAGGAAGGUGGCACCUCCCGGUGUGUUAUAGCCUCUGAUCRUAUGUGGCAGSCGGGAUUGAGGACCGCAKCACGCCUUUAUGGCCGGGGUUCGCCCACGUAACGUGCUURKGAUGCUGGCGUAAUGGCUUUAAACGACCCGUCUUGAAACACGGACCAAGGAGUCUAACAUGCCUGCGAGUAUUUGGGUGGCAAACCCRUAUGCSGAAUGAAWGUGAACMGUUGGGACUUCUGUCAUGGAAGG
This 697-nucleotide ribosomal RNA is filed under the name Geastrum triplex. Its description in RNAcentral is "partial large subunit ribosomal RNA". It matches the Rfam family "Eukaryotic large subunit ribosomal RNA", at positions 76 to 755 of the family's 3401-position model. The record is from RNAcentral. Lineage: Eukaryota; Fungi; Basidiomycota; Agaricomycetes; Geastrales; Geastraceae.